RNAcentral lists this transfer RNA (65 nucleotides) under Nocticola sp. JW1 9/1. RNAcentral describes it as "tRNA-Ile". Lineage: Eukaryota; Metazoa; Arthropoda; Insecta; Blattodea; Nocticolidae. The record is from RNAcentral.
AGAAAAGUGCCUGAUUAAAGGAUUAUUAUGAUAGAAUAAAUCAUGUACAUAUUGUACCUUUACUA